RNAcentral lists this ribosomal RNA (674 nucleotides) under Escherichia coli. Its description in RNAcentral is "partial 23S ribosomal RNA". It matches the Rfam family "Bacterial large subunit ribosomal RNA", at positions 2269 to 2925 of the family's 2925-position model. The record is from RNAcentral. Lineage: Bacteria; Pseudomonadati; Pseudomonadota; Gammaproteobacteria; Enterobacterales; Enterobacteriaceae. RNAcentral also lists the same sequence under 1 other name.
UUUGACUGGGGCGGUCUCCUCCUAAAGAGUAACGGAGGAGCACGAAGGUUGGCUAAUCCUGGUCGGACAUCAGGAGGUUAGUGCAAUGGCAUAAGCCAGCUUGACUGCGAGCGUGACGGCGCGAGCAGGUGCGAAAGCAGGUCAUAGUGAUCCGGUGGUUCUGAAUGGAAGGGCCAUCGCUCAACGGAUAAAAGGUACUCCGGGGAUAACAGGCUGAUACCGCCCAAGAGUUCAUAUCGACGGCGGUGUUUGGCACCUCGAUGUCGGCUCAUCACAUCCUGGGGCUGAAGUAGGUCCCAAGGGUAUGGCUGUUCGCCAUUUAAAGUGGUACGCGAGCUGGGUUUAGAACGUCGUGAGACAGUUCGGUCCCUAUCUGCCGUGGGCGCUGGAGAACUGAGGGGGGCUGCUCCUAGUACGAGAGGACCGGAGUGGACGCAUCACUGGUGUUCGGGUUGUCAUGCCAAUGGCACUGCCCGGUAGCUAAAUGCGGAAGAGAUAAGUGCUGAAAGCAUCUAAGCACGAAACUUGCCCCGAGAUGAGUUCUCCCUGAGACUUAGAGUCUCCUGAAGGAACGUUGAAGACGACGACGUUGAUAGGCCGGGUGUGUAAGCGCAGCGAUGCGUUGAGCUAACCGGUACUAAUGAACCGUGAGGCUUAACCUUACAACGCCGAAG